GAAAACCAAAAAUCGGAGGAAAAAUUUCUUAGUCUCCAGGGUUUGGGUUGUAAGAAAAUGGAUUCCCGGGCGUGCAUGAAUGAGGUUUGUGGGGCAUCUUCAUCGUCAUCGACGUCAAUUGAAUGGAAAAAGGGUUGGCCUCUGCGAUCCGGUGGAUUUGCCACUCUUUGUGCUAAGUGCGGGACUGCCUUUGAGCAAUUAGUCUUCUGUGAAAUGUUUCACUCAAAGGAAACUGGUUGGAGGAAGUGAAAUUCAUGCGACAAGGUGAGC
Long non-coding RNA from Olea europaea var. sylvestris, 270 nucleotides. RefSeq lists it as uncharacterized. The record is from RefSeq and is a predicted model, not a curated record. Lineage: Eukaryota; Viridiplantae; Streptophyta; Magnoliopsida; Lamiales; Oleaceae. The transcript is spliced from 3 exons.